This 209-nucleotide ribosomal RNA is filed under the name Alphaproteobacteria bacterium. Its description in RNAcentral is "partial 23S ribosomal RNA". It matches the Rfam family "Bacterial large subunit ribosomal RNA", at positions 2704 to 2925 of the family's 2925-position model. Lineage: Bacteria; Pseudomonadati; Pseudomonadota; Alphaproteobacteria. The record is from RNAcentral.
CACCUCUGGUGUACCGGUUGUGGCGCCAGCCGCACCGCCGGGUAGCUAAGUGCGGACGGGAUAACCGCUGAAAGCAUCUAAGCGGGAAGCCUUCCUCAAAACCAGGUCUCGCCGAGAGCCGUGGUAGACCACCACGUCGAUAGGCCGGAGGUGGAAGCGGAGUAAUCCGCGCAGCUGACCGGUACUAAUCGCUCGAUUGGCUUGAGCGU